This is a long non-coding RNA of Octopus bimaculoides (California two-spot octopus), 1727 nucleotides long. Lineage: Eukaryota; Metazoa; Mollusca; Cephalopoda; Octopoda; Octopodidae. The record is from RefSeq and is a predicted model, not a curated record.
AGAAAAAGAGAAAGAGCAGGUGAGAGGAAGAGAAAGAGAGAGGGAAGCGAAUGCCUGUAAAUAGCGAAUCUCGCUGUUUAUGUCUUCUGUGUACGUUAUAACACUGGUCUACAGGAAUAUCAGUCGAACAGAGCAUUUGUCUGUGUUCGUACACGAGCUAUAAUGCUCAACUUACAUGUGUUGUAUAGCCACUAUGAUUGUCCACCAAAGCGGAAUAUGGAAGGGUGCCAGUUUGUGAUAAUACAGCCCUCAACUCUUUGACACUUGACUUUUAGUCAGUUGUUGCAACUCUCAACUGCGAGGAAGCGCUCACACUUUGGUAAACCAAAGUGGGCAUUCAGUGGAAAUCUUACUUUUCUUUCUGCUUUCGUUUAUUUAAUUAGCGUGUGGUGCGCGAACUAACACACGUUCGCGCACACACACACACACACACACACACACACACACACACACACACACACACAUACGUGCGCACUCACUUAUUCAAACAUACAUACAUACAUACAUACAUACAUACAUACAUACAUACAUUCAGACCGCUCAGUCUUUCUUAUUCCGGGGCUCUGUGCCUUCUCUCAGUUCACUCAUGCUUUUUUCAUCGCUCCUUUACUCAGACGUAUAUAUAUAAGACUGAUAUAUAUAUAUAUAUAUAUAUAUAUGCAAAUAUAUAUAUACUUACAUACAUACAUAUGCAUGCAUGUAUGUAUAUGUAUAUAUAUAUGCUUCUAUAAAGACUAUAUUUUUAGACCAACGAAAAUAGAAUGUAAUUCAAAACCGAAGCAUGGCAGCAAACCCCGUGUGUGAGGCAGCUGUAGUCGUUGGUAUUGAAACAUCGACGCGCCCUUACUGUAAAAUGAAACCGCCGGAUAUUCCAAGUUGGUUUAAUCAAACGUUUAUAAAGAAGCUACGUAACAGCAGCUGUUGGCAGUUCUAUUUAAAGCAGUGUUCGCCACCGGCUAAGGGACAUUUUCAGGAAAACCAUCACACCACAACAAUUACUGUGGUCGUAUUUUUCUUUAUAAUUAUCGGAUUAAUUGUUCUUUUCUUUAUAAUUAAUCGACACUGGCGAUUUGGCCAUAUGAUGUCGAAUGCGGUGAGUAAACGUUUUAAUAAAAACAAAACCAAUAACGAAAAACUUUCCAGACAAUCAGCGCAGUGUUUGUACCGAAUGGAUACUCCUGAGGAAUUUUAGCAGAAAUGCAUUAACUACUUAUCCGGGUGUUGAACAAAUUAUAUUUACGGAGAUUUCAAAUACUGGAAAACAACGAAAGUAACACACUUUGGGUCUGAAACAGACAUGGUAGAGGAUUUACCAAAUAUAGAAAUGUCAUCUUACAUCUUACUCUCAUAUGCUAAAAGAAAAGAAAUCGAAAAAGGGACUUCCGAUUAUGAGGUGGUCAUUCUCUCGGCAUUCGUCCCAUGGUGAUUAUCAUUUAAAUCAGGACAAAAAUCAUUACUCUUGAAAUUCAUUCUGGGUUUGCAACUUUGAUUUACGGCUGUUGUGACCAAUGCAAAACAUUAGAAAUUAUUGACAACCCUUGCUACAGUUACACAUUCCCAGUUAUGACCUUCGAAACCAACACAAUCCUCAACAAACAUUUGAUUGAACGUACGGUUGAAACAUGAGAACAAUGGCUGUUCUUCUCUAACGUCUGAAUCGUAUUCCAAUUUGAAAUCAAAUUGUUUAUUAAAUUUAAGAAAAAUACAAUAAAAUAAAUUUUACAUAA